AUUGAACGCUGGCGGCAUGCCUUACACAUGCAAGUCGAACGGCAGCACGGGUGCUUGCACCUGGUGGCGAGUGGCGAACGGGUGAGUAAUAUAUCGGAACGUGCCCAGUCGUGGGGGAUAACGUAGCGAAAGUUACGCUAAUACCGCAUACGAUCUACGGAUGAAAGCGGGGGAUCGCAAGACCUCGCGCGAUUGGAGCGGCCGAUAUCAGAUUAGGUAGUUGGUGGGGUAAAGGCUCACCAAGCCAACGAUCUGUAGCUGGUCUGAGAGGACGACCAGCCACACUGGAACUGAGACACGGUCCAGACUCCUACGGGAGGCAGCAGUGGGGAAUUUUGGACAAUGGACGCAAGUCUGAUCCAGCCAUUCCGCGUGCAGGAUGAAGGCCCUCGGGUUGUAAACUGCUUUUGUACGGAACGAAAAGGUUUCCAUUAAUACUGGGAGCUCAUGACGGUACCGUAAGAAUAAGCACCGGCUAACUACGUG
This 486-nucleotide ribosomal RNA is filed under the name uncultured bacterium. RNAcentral describes it as "bacterial SSU rRNA". It matches the Rfam family "Bacterial small subunit ribosomal RNA", at positions 30 to 507 of the family's 1533-position model. The record is from RNAcentral.